CGAACGCUGGCGGCGUGCUUCACACAUGCAAGUCGCACGGAAAGGCCCUGCUUUUGUGGGGUGCUCGAGUGGCGAACGGGUGAGUAACACGUGAGUAACCUGCCCUUGACUUUGGGAUAACUUCAGGAAACUGGGGCUAAUACCGGAUAGGAGCUCCUGCUGCAUGGUGGGGGUUGGAAAGUUUCGGCGGUUGGGGAUGGACUCGCGGCUUAUCAGCUUGUUGGUGGGGUAGUGGCUUACCAAGGCUUUGACGGGUAGCCGGCCUGAGAGGGUGACCGGCCACAUUGGGACUGAGAUACGGCCCAGACUCCUACGGGAGGCAGCAGUGGGGAAUAUUGCACAAUGGGCGGAAGCCUGAUGCAGCAACGCCGCGUGCGGGAUGACGGCCUUCGGGUUGUAAACCGCUUUCGCCUGUGACGAAGCGUGAGUGACGGUAAUGGGUAAAGAAGCACCGGCUAACUACGUG
Molecule: ribosomal RNA, 466 nt
Filed under: uncultured bacterium
Lineage: Bacteria
Description: partial 16S ribosomal RNA
Rfam family: Bacterial small subunit ribosomal RNA
Source: RNAcentral